AAGACUACAUUCUCUUCUAAGCAUGCGGUGCCUCUCUCCAGGCUAUUGGAAACCAGAAGUGCUGGUAGCUGAGGAAGUCUAUGCUUAAAGUAAGAGCUGGAAAGCAUUAUUUAUUUCCUGUCACAAUUCUUUUCGUUCUUAUUCCUGAGGAGAUGGCAUAAUCUAAGGUGGAGCACACUUCAAAUUGCAUUCCUGAUCAGGAGAUUUAAAAGACGGUGAAGAAAAUAAAAAUGUUUUAUUUUCCUUACUACA
Molecule: long non-coding RNA, 252 nt
Filed under: Phasianus colchicus (ring-necked pheasant)
Lineage: Eukaryota; Metazoa; Chordata; Aves; Galliformes; Phasianidae
Description: lncRNA (ENSPCLG00000000050.1)
Source: RNAcentral